AAUGUAGGCAUUCAGCUUCUGUGGCAGUGAACACGGGACAGAUGGCUAGACAGAUCUUUGAAAUCUGGGCUUGGCAAUCUGAGAGGUCUCGACACAGCAGGGAGAGUUAGAAAACAAAGGCCCAAUUCUGCUAUCAGUUAUUUGGACACAAGUCCCACUGAUUUCAGUUUUUGUGCCCAUUAUUUGGCAGAAUUAGGCCCCAAGAGCCUAUCCAAAAUCAGUGGGGAAAUGGGCAGAAGAGUCUCUAUGAGAUUUGGAGAAAGUAGACAAGAUGUAUAGGAAGGGCCUGAUUUUUUUAAAAAUUUCCUGAGAUUCUGGUUGAUGUGGGCCCUGUUUAAUUAUAGCCUAUGCUGCCUUCUCCUCCAAACACCUCCAAAUAAUUUGGCAUGGCUGAGAAUCCCUGUUGGGGAAAGACUUAGGCAGGGCUAGACUUAUGAAGGCACAACUAUGCAUUAGUGGCACUGCCUCUCCAAGCCACAUUACAAAAUUAAGUGUCAUGUCUAAGAUGGCAAGGAAUAAGCAUAAGACAAAUAGCUUGUGGAGUGCCAGAGAAUGUCUAAGUGCUCAACAUGGAAGGAUUUGGGCCUCCCUCUCCCAGAAAGAAUAGCUACUGGGAGCAGGUUCAGAGAGGUGGAACUGAUGUCUGCUGCGGGCGUUCCUAGUGGGAGAGCCCCACAACAAGUUGCUUAUACUCACAGGUGAUGAGCAUAGCCCAUAGAAGGGCCAGAGAUUUCCCCCACCUCAGCCCCUAUUGGCCCUUUGCCGAUACGAGGGCACUGCAAUGGGCAGAGGGGUGUAGCAGUUAUGGGAGGACACCUUAGCACUUCCCCAGAUAGGUGCAACUUCACCUUCUUCCAGAACAUGCUCAUCACUUGCAAGCAUUGCCAUGCCAGGGCUGGUGCUGGACAGAGGCUGCUACCUUGCAUCAUCAGCGAGCUGUGCAGGCAAGAGGACUCCAAGGUUGUUAGGCUGAGGUGUGCACUAGAAGAGAAGUGCAAGUGGCUUUGAGACCAUGGGAGCAGCACAUGAGGGUGAGAAAAGGAAGCAUUCUUCAGUACUGGGAGAAAGCACAAGACACUGUGAGAGCGGCUAGGAAAGUGGCUGAACCCAGAGACUCCACAACCUGCUACUUGCUACCAGGGAACUUAUUUCGCAGAACAGCUUGUGCUUUUAUUGCAGAAGUUCCAGGAUUCGAUCCUCCCUGGCAACCGUGUCUUUUCAUGAGGUCAAGGAGGACAAGCUGGUGGGAUGAUUUAGCAACUCAGUUCAUGCUGCUGCAUGUCGCAGAGCAGAUAAACGUCCGGACUCUUGCUCAUGGAGUUGGAACUCUCACUAUGGCAAGAUGAUCUUCCGCACACGGUGGCAUUGGGGACAUGAACAGUAACGCUUGCUCGACAGGGCUAGAACACAUCCCCGACUCUUCAGAGAACAGAUCCCUGAGUCUUCACAAGAGAGCCUGAUCUGAAAGGCCCAGGCUCAAAAUCACAGCUAGCUCGUUUUAAGCUUUUUUUCCUUUGAGAUUGCAUCAAAGCCCAUGCAUGGUUUUCUGUUGCCUUCAGUGAGAGCAAGACCAGGCCCUUACUCUUUAUGGCUGUUAUAAUCAUUCCAGAUGAUUUUUCCAUUUCCCUGGAGAGAAUGCAGUGGUUCUAUCUCUUUGAGUUCACCCACUGCCAGCAGUUGGACAAUUUCAAGAUGUGCUAGCACUGAACAUGGGUCAGCCUGGGAUUCAGAAAGAUUGGACAUUUCCAUCUUUCUAGGGCACUGCUAUCCCCUAGUGGCAAGCUGGAAAAGUGACAUGUCUCCCUGCUGCUCUAAACCGGGACAUGAUAUAGAGAGGGUGCAGACUGAAUGGUUAAGAGUUAUUUACCUCUCUCUCUCUCUCUCUCUCUCACACACAUACCUUCUUGUCCCUCACAUGACUGCAGAUGAUCUAGGACACACAGGGCAGUCUGGAUUAUUGAAAAUAGAGGCAGAUGGCUACGUAGACAUUUUUAGUUUACCAUCAGAGAGUCCCUGUAACUUUUAGAAUGUGGGGUUGUGGAGGUUGAAUGCCUGGGUGGAUAUGAUCUCCUCCUUGUCUAUUAGAACCUGGAUGUUAAGCCAUAAAUCAUCAGAAUGGGGAUUUUCUCUAGGUCUACAAUAAUUUCUCAGACUUGACCUUGAUGCACAGAGAACACUAGAUAGGCAAUUCUUUUAGAUAGAAAUAAGGCCUGGCUUGACAAAGCCCUGGCUGGGAUGAUUUAGAUGGUGUUGGUCCUGCUUUGAGCAGGGGGUUGAACUAGAUGACCUCCUGAGGUCUCUUCCAACCCUAAUCUUCUAUGAUUCUAUGAUAAAGAGAAUUACAGGGCACAAGGAAUUAAUGAUCUCUGUACAGUCAGAGAUGAGAUGACCACCAUUUUUUUAUUGUGUUGGAGAGUGGCUAGAAUUUUAUUAAUUUGAGUAUCAGGAUAAUGGGAAAAAUUCUGAAAAGCACAUAAGUGACUUGGGAGCCUAAAGCUCAUUGAUUUUUUCAAUGGUACAUGGGCUCCUAAAUCCCUAAUGUGCAUUUGAAAAUUUGCCCAAUGAUAAUAAUGUUAUUUAUCAAGCCUCCUGCCAAAGAGGUUGGCUGGUGUAUAUUAAUUAUUACUUUAAUUUGUAUUUCAGUAGCAUCCACAGGGCUCAAGUGAGAUAUGGUCCCAUUGUGCUAGGCACUGUACAAAUGCACGAGAGAGUCAGUGACCCAAAGAGCAUACAAUGUAAUUAAAUGCCCAUUCAAAUAAAUAGAUUCUUCCUAUUGCCUUCUGUUUUAAUUUAAUCUGGCCAUAAACAGACAAGACAAUAAAGAGAUUUUAAAAUACAAUUAAACACGAGAACAAACAGAGAUGCGACUGGCACAGGGCAAAAAGGGGAGGAAUCAAGUGUAGGCGGGAGCACCAGAUGGGGCUCAGAGGUUGUUUGCACGCUGUCUUUCAGAGGCAAAUGUUCCUGAGUAGCUCUGCAACUGGGUCUGAUCAGACAAGAACCCCUCAGAACCAUCACUCUGGGAGUCUGAACUGAGUUUUGAUUAGUGGGUCUCCCCCUGCUCCACUCUAGUUUCUAGCUGGGUGGAGGCCACGUGAGAAAGUCUCUUCCCAUGAGAUCCUCAGGAAGGAGAGGUUUUGAGAGGCUUGGGCUGAACAUUCAACCAGUUAAGCACAUACAAAAGCACUGACCCUCAUGAGCUUCACCCAGCCUGAGAGAUGCCGUGGCUUUGGCCCUCUUUCUCCACCAGGCUUUGACAGCUGAUGUCCCAGCUGCCACCGCUUUCCCUGUCCUGAGGGAGAGAUUCGAGGUCCACCAAUGAAACAUAAAGCAAAAGCUGCUGGAGCGGCAGUUCCAGCCGACAAGCUGAACAGAGGGGGAAAGCGGGAGGCAGACUGGCAUCUGAGAGAUUGCUUUUUUUAACUCUGAAGAGAAAUUGGCCAAGCAGCACAUGUUCCCUGAGGUGGUUUUGCUGCUUCAAGUUCAUUUGCGGAUGAAGUUUCCAUUUUUUCAAUCAUCCAUCUUCUGUUCCAUACUAGUCCUGGUUUCCCUGGAAGUUUUGGUUCUGAUGACUAUCUCAAGCCCCCUUGUUUCUCCUUUUUCAAUUGGCACCUUGGCUUUUUACUGUUAAAAACUGUGGGUUUUGAGGCCCUUCCCGGCCUUGUUUCAGCGUGGGGGGAGCAAUUGGAAAAGUUGGGGCACUGUCAUAUUUGCCUUACUGGGGAGCAAGAGCAGCCUGGAAUUGGAACAGGAAGUUGAUCCAUUUCUGUAUUGCCUGCACCUCUCCUUCUGAGUGAUCCUGCCAUACCCAGAGAGGAAUUGUGUCCGACUGAACUCAUACAUCUGCCUGCUCUGCACCAUCUCUGACCCUGGACUGCCCAACAAUGAAUUGAGUCCUACUGCAUCCUCACUGUAACCUUGUCUGCCAAAUAAAUGUCCAUGCCCUAUUGCACUUUGGCACCAGCCUGGCACUGCUGUACCUCAGUAUUUCUGGCCUGAUGCUGCAGAGUUAGGUUCCACCUGGGCAUUUGGCAAGAUGUAAGAGCAGCUCGCAGGAGACAUCUGAAUUUGAUACCAUCUCCUUUGCUCUGAACCCCAGUGAAGAACAAGAGGCCGAGCAGCUCAGUAAUACAGAACAAGUGACAGUUUGAUUUGUUCUGAUGUUAGUGAGGAGCUUCUUGGGCUGCAUAACAACACGUCCAGCAGCUCUCCAAAGAGGCAGCAUGCAUACAAGCCUGGGCAUUAGGAACUCCUGAGUUCUAAUCCUGCCUAUGCACUAAUUCAAUGUAUUGCCUUGGCCACAUCACUGCAUAUCUUUGUGCCUCAGUUUCCCAUUUGUUAAAUGGAAUAAUUAUCCAUGUGCUCCUCCUUGGUAGAGUCUGGAUCCCCCUCAAAGUAUAGUGUGAUUGGAACCCAGGCUUGGAGAAGGGAAGAAUGGAAAGAGGUAUGUUGCUCUCUGAUGACAAUCUAAUUUAAAGUUGCAGUAGCGCUAUCUUCUUUAGAGUUAGCCAACGACCUGUGAGGGAGGGAGGAUCAGUGACUUGCGUGAAGUCACCCAGGAAAAUUUGUGGCUGAGUCAGGAACUGAACCACAUCUCCUGCGUCCAGGGCCUUAAUCACAAGACCGUCCUGCCUUAUUCAAGGGGAUGCUGAGAUGGUAUUUACCUCAUACUGAUCAACACACUCAGGGCUAGAUCCUCAGCUGAUGUAAAUCAGCGCUGCUCUGCUGAAGUCAUUGGGGCUAUGCUGAUUUACACCACCUGAGGAUCUGGUCCUGAAAGUUCCAAAGGAAAUAGCUGCCCCUGAAUAGGUAUGAGCAAAUGUCCUGAUGCCCAUGUGCUAUGUGUCUUGCAGAGAGGUAUUGCCUGUUAGGGAUUAUUUACAUUCAUUAUUGCCUGGCAGAGACAAGAGUCAGGUACUGGAGCAGAGGGCACCAUGGGUUGCUUAGAAAUGCCCUAAGUUUUGGCUGCCUGCUGGUAAGAGAUACCUCAUGAUACACACAGAUGCCGUUUAAAAAACAUUAAGCAAACACAAACACUCCACAUACAAACCCCACAUUACAAAGUCACAAAACAAACACACAGACACAGGAAUGAAAAAUUGUGAACCCCAAAGGGAAACGCUCAACAUUUAAAAUACUCGAGACCAGAUUUUCCCUUUACAAUAAAAAUGUGAGCAAGGCAAAAGAGGAACAAAGCUAGAAAAGAGUAAAUUGCAUCCUGUCAUCCCACUAAGAAUUUCCAAUAGGGCAAGGCAGAUGUUUCAUAGAAGGAAAAGGCGACGUUUAUUCAAAUGUAGUAAAAGCAGCCUCAUUUAUGACUCCUGGAGACUCAGCAUGCAGCUGUUUGCCUAUAACACAGCAAUCAUGUCAAACAGGAGAUCCCUCUUGCUAUGUCAAGGGAGCAGGCAUGGGAGCCAGCAGGUGUUUCAACAGGAACAUUCACACAGGCAAUAUGAGGGUGGGACUGUGGUGCUGAAUCCCGGCAGAGAGGAUAACUUGUGAGAAAGGUCAGUCUGAAGGGGAUAAGAAGAGCGAGUGCUGUACACUCUGUACAGUCGGGGCCUGAUACUUGGAAGUGCUGAGCAGCCACAUCUCAAAUUGAAGUCCCUGGGUGCUGAGGAUAUUUGGCCCCUCUGAAAAUCAAGCCCUACGUGGAGAGAAAGAGCGCUGCAUGCUUUAUCUAUUAGUGCUUCCCAUCUCAAUCCGGCUGUUGCCACGCAUACCUAUUAGCUCCAGAACAGCGGUCUCACAAAUGCUGAAGUUGGAAAACAGCGGAUUGUUUCGUACAACCAGUAACGUCUUCUGCAGAGUUAAGCUAACAAGAUUUGUCUCCAUCACAAGCACCUAGGCCAUUCAAAGUCAAUCAGCUGGAAACCAGAGCUCCUCCAUUCAAUAAUGUUAACCUGAACACCAAAGAGCUUACGACCUCAUGCGGAGAGGUUCUAGCAGGACUGUACUGCCAACAGAUUGUAAGCUCCAUGGGGCAGAGGCUGUUUCUUCUUAUGUGUUGAACAGUGUCUAGCACAACGGGGUCUUGAUCCGGAUUAGAAAUAAGUCAAUAUAUAUUAUCAAUAUGACAUGCAUAUCACUAGAAUGAGCUAUUUCAAUUUGGCAUCAGCCCAUUCAGCAAAUACAUUGUCCCCCGAAGCGCAAUAACCUCUCAUUAGCAGCAGAAUUAAAUACAAAGAGGGGCAGAAGGAGAAAUGUAUAUCUGUCCUAUGCAAAUACAGGGAACAUGUCGAGUUCAGGAUGUAGCCCUGGCCACACCUCCUGUUGGGAAAGCCACACACACUUUUCCAUACCAAAAGUGAACUAGCCACUUGUAACUUUUGGUGUAACUUGCGCCAAUGGAAUUCACAACACAGCCAGACAACACAUGGAAAUGUACUACAGCGCAUACCCACAAGUGCAUACAGAACACAGAGCCAAGCAAGGCCAGGUCUACACUGGAACCUUUUGCUGGUAUAAUCGCAUUGGUUAGGGGUGGGGUUUUUUUAAAUGACAUUUCAAUACUUGCAAAAGCCCUAGUAUAGAUGCAGUUAUACCUGCUAAAAAGUGCUUUUGCCACUAUUGCUUGUUUCGCUUGCCAAACCAGAAUAAGCUAUGCCGGCAAAAGCAUUUUUUGCCAGUAUACAUUGCAUCUACACUAGAUGAUUCUGCCAAAUAGCUAUAUGGGCAAAUUGUCUCUAGUGCAGACUUGGACCAAGACAUGUGGGAAGCACCUUGGACUGUCUGGCACUGCUGGAGCAGAGACUGUGUGGUGUGGCUGGUAGUGGCCAUCUCACCCCAUACCCCAGAGACAGCAGGACCAGUGAGGGGAGAGAAAUCUUUGGUAUUGGGGAUUGUGCCUUUAAGGGCUGAGCUUCCUAGACAGAAACACCUGAGGUCACUCUCCCUCCAUGAAAAACCUCUUCAACCCAAACUGGGAGAUCAAGCCCCCUCAACAGGAAAGACUCUCCUCUAUUUUCAAGCUCCCCCAUUCCUACUUUGAGACUGUCACAGUAGUAUGAUGGAUAAAGAUGACCACAAAAAAAUUAGUUUUUUUUUUAAAUUUCCUUUUUUUUCCACCUCAGAAAUAUCAGGAAUGUCAAGCCCCCUCUUCCCUGGUUUUGUGGGAGGACUUCUUGGGAGAGUCACAUGUACUUACAGGCACUCAGCCUCUUAGCUUAGUGGUUCUCAACCAGGGGUACAUGUACCUCUUGGGGUAAGCAGGGUCUUCCGGGGGUCCAUCAACUCAUCUAGAUAUUUGCCUAGUUUUACAAUAGGCUACAUAAAAAGCACUAGUGAAGUCAGUACAAACUAAAAUUUCAUGCAGACGAUGACUUGUUUAUACUGCUCUACAUAUUAUACACUGAAAUGUAAGUACAUUUAUAUUCCAGUUGAUUUAUUUUAUAAUUAUAUGGUAAAAAUGAGAAAGUAAGCACUUUUUCAGUGAUAAUGUGCUAUGAUACCUUUGUAUUUUUAUGUCUGAUUUUGUAAGCAAGUAGUUUUUAAGUGAGAUGAAACUUGGGAGUACGCAAGACAGAUCAGACUCCUGAAAGGGGAACAGUAAUCUGGAAAGGCUGAGAGCCACUCGCUUAGUUGAAGAGUUUUAACAAAGAUAUACUUUCUCCAAAGUGUUCAUUGAGCAUUGAAAUUAGAUUAAUAAAACAGAACAGUCUGAUGAAAAAUCCCUCCCCAUCCCAAUUGUUCAGUCUCCUGUGAUGGCAUAGUUUCACUAAUUCUUCAGAAACUUCCAAGGUAGAUAAGACCUGAUUUUCUAAAGUAAAAACAUAUUAUUAUGUUUUUGAAAAAUCUUUCAGAACUUCUAAUCAAAAAGACAGAAGCCCAAUCUUUGUUUCUUUUACAUGUUAAAUUUAAGACAUGAAAGGGACAGGACUGAAUCACCCAGUGGAUUUACUAACUCUCUAACAAGCUAAGAUGUCGCAGUGAUGAUGGCUGGACAGAUAGAUGGGUUAGAUGUGCUUGCUCACCUAUCUAAGACAGAACCAGAGAGCUCUCCUCAGUUUUCCAGGCUGUAGGAUCAUUUCCCCCCAGUUUGGAGGCUGAGCCAUACUGCUGUCAGGAAUUAUUUGUGUUUAUGACAAUAAUGGGCCCAGUGCUGCUUUCAUUUAUAACAGUGUAAAUCAGGAGUGAGGCCAUGGCAGGCAAUAGAAUUACACAGGUGUAAAGUCAGUGCAAGAGCAGAAUCAGCUCCAGGGUAGUUAGUAUGAAUAAGAACAAAGGGCAAAGUUCUCUGCUGGUAUAAAUGGGUAAAACUCCAUUGAAGUCAGGGGAGCUGCAACCAUUAACAACAGCAGAGAACUUGGACCAGGAUUUUGAUGAGAGACUCUCAUCGGCUCGGUUUUCCUCUCACACUGGUGUAAAUAGCUCCUCUGGAAAAGUGUAAAAAACACUGAGAGCAGAAUCAGACCCUUUAUAAACAUUGGUAUUGCUGUACUAGAGGCCCUGCCCAAAGCUCCAUUGCAGUAGGUGCCAUACAAA
This is a long non-coding RNA of Dermochelys coriacea (leatherback sea turtle), 8484 nucleotides long. RefSeq lists it as uncharacterized. The transcript has 5 exons. Lineage: Eukaryota; Metazoa; Chordata; Testudines; Dermochelyidae. The record is from RefSeq and is a predicted model, not a curated record.